Octodon degus (degu) is the source of this 129-nucleotide small nucleolar RNA. The record is from Ensembl. Lineage: Eukaryota; Metazoa; Chordata; Mammalia; Rodentia; Octodontidae.
ACCCUCCAGUUCCCUUUCCCACUGGAUCUGAACACUGGUCUUGGUGGUCAUAAAGGAGGAAAAGGAAUGCUGAAACUGGCCUCACAGACAUAUUCUGUUACAGAAAAUGCAGGCUACUACCAAACAGGG